UUCUGAGGGUUUGUGGAAAGGUUUUUCCUUACUCUUCUGGGAGAGCUUCUUUAAAUGAUCAUUUUGUUCACUGUUUUGUUUCGUAUGAGGAAGCCUCUUGGAACCAUGAGGAAGAGCCAGGCUGAGACUGAGUCUGACACUUCAGAAGCCACCACGCAAUGAGAGAAGGAAGCCAGGUUCUUGAUCUUGUGGCUGAAUCAAACCAAGCCUGAAGCCUACAUUUCCUCUGAACUUCAAAAUAAGGAUCCCGGGAACCUCCUUUCCUCAGUGUAUGCAUCUAGUUUCAGGUCCUUCCAUAUACUGAGAUUGGCAGUAGUCCUUCAGCAAGACUGGGUGAUGCUUUUUAAGCAUUUACCUUGAGUCACAAGGUCCUGAAUUCAGUAGAUUACAAGCCAGAUGAUAUCAGGAAACCGUCAUGAUUUUCCAA
Choloepus didactylus (southern two-toed sloth) is the source of this 427-nucleotide long non-coding RNA. RefSeq lists it as uncharacterized. The record is from RefSeq and is a predicted model, not a curated record. NCBI's taxonomy places the organism in Eukaryota, Metazoa, Chordata, Mammalia, Pilosa, Megalonychidae. The transcript has 3 exons.